RNAcentral lists this long non-coding RNA (247 nucleotides) under Durio zibethinus. RNAcentral describes it as "long non-coding RNA (DZIB_LNC001206)". The record is from RNAcentral. Lineage: Eukaryota; Viridiplantae; Streptophyta; Magnoliopsida; Malvales; Malvaceae.
UGCAUUCUUCCAAAUCUCAGUCCUCCAACAUGCUUUGGAAUUACAAGAUUAUCUCAAACACCAAAAGAAAUCAAUGGAUAAUAGGAGGAGCUUUGUUUUCAUCGUAAAAGAUUGAAUUACCAGAAGUAACAGAGGCGCUGGUUUUGCCAACAUGAUUUCUUGGCAAAGCACAACAUCUUUUUCAAACCAACACUCUCAGAUUUCAGUUUUCAUAGGAUAUCGUUAUAGAUGGUUUUUGCACCUCUCC